This 440-nucleotide ribosomal RNA is filed under the name uncultured bacterium. Its description in RNAcentral is "bacterial SSU rRNA". It matches the Rfam family "Bacterial small subunit ribosomal RNA", at positions 338 to 795 of the family's 1533-position model. The record is from RNAcentral.
CCUACGGGAGGCAGCAGUGGGGAAUAUUGCACAAUGGGCGCAAGCCUGAUGCAGCGACGCCGCGUGAGCGAUGAAGGCCUUCGGGUCGUAAAGCUCUGUCCUAAGGGAAGAAUAAUGACGGUACCUUAGGAGGAAGCCCCGGCUAACUACGUGCCAGCAGCCGCGGUAAUACGUAGGGGGCGAGCGUUAUCCGGAAUCACUGGGCGUAAAGGGUGCGUAGGCGGCCCUGCAAGUCAGGAGUUAAAUCCCUCGGCUCAACCGAGGUCAGCUCUUGAAACUGUAGGGCUUGAGUGCAGGAGAGGAGGGGGGAAUUCGUGGGGUAGGGGUGAAAUGGGAAGAAAUUAGGAGGAACACCAGUGGCGAGGGCGGCUUCCGGGACUGCAACUGACGCUGGGGCACGAAAGCGUGGGGAGCGAACAGGAUUAGAUACCCUUGUAGUC